AGUUCCAGGAGGAGGGCGCAUGGGGUGAGCUCAGGGCAGAAGGCUUUUGUUCCAAAGCCCCUCUGACCUGAACGCACACACUCACAGCGUGCCCUGUAUCUGGCUCAGAAGCCGUCGCUCCGAAGAAGAUGACUGUCCCCUGUGAGGAACUGUCGUGGGAAUGAGGCGAUAGGACUGGUUGAAGGAAAUGCUAAGAAGCUCUCUCCUUUGUGGACUGAGGGACCAGCUUCAACACCAGAGGGGUGCAAUCCCAGCAGAAAAGGAACACUGUCUCUAAUGUUGCAACAAAGUAACCAGCAUGAAGUUAGCAAGAAGAAAUCACGGUUGCAGCUGCUGAACACUGAUCCCUACCUGCUUUAAACUUAGAUCCAGAACGGAGCCGGCACAGUGACUUACGUCACUCCCACUGGCUUAAGAGAACAGAGAAUGACAUAUAGACAAGAUGCUACCUCCCAUGGAAAGGCCCCUAUACAUAAAGUCACUUUAUUUCUCUGUCACUUCCCUGAAAAUAAUUUAUGUAAUUAUGCUGUUAAUGAAGUCUAACAACUCAAGGUUUGUUUAUUGACUAUUACUUAAUGCUACCAAAGCAUGUGUGAAUACCCUCCCACAAGAUGGCACCUGUUGAUUCUCCUUCAUAGUAAAGAUAAGAGAUUCCAACCACUCCCUCUCCUAUGCCCACUCCCAGAUAUGUGUAAUUUCUUCCCACUCCUUCCAGUCUCAGAAGGGGUAAGAUGAACUGAGAAGGGACCCUAUUUGUACAAAUAGGUUUCAGGAUGUUGUCAUAUGUGCUUCCUGGGACUCUGUGGUAAUAAGAGCUGUUUUAAGGUCACUCAUGCAUAAACCCCCAUCCACGAUUUGAUAAAUAAACCCACCGUCCAACCAAUCAAAAAUGCUAAAGUAGGGAGAAAUUGUUCUUCCUUUUUGUUGAUGCCAGUGCCCUAGCCAAGGUGAAUAGACGUUUGUUCAAGCUGUUGCUGUAAAAGAUACUGUGAUGUUCAUUUGUAAAUAUCAUCAGAGUUACUCCUACAGGUCGACUCUCUGUGUAAGACACUAAAAAUGGAUAAUACUCAUCAAGUUUCUCAUGUGUCCAUUAA
RNAcentral lists this long non-coding RNA (1094 nucleotides) under Mus musculus (house mouse). RNAcentral's name for it is "RIKEN cDNA 4930555A03 gene, transcript variant 3 (4930555A03Rik)". Lineage: Eukaryota; Metazoa; Chordata; Mammalia; Rodentia; Muridae. The record is from RNAcentral.